This 253-nucleotide ribosomal RNA is filed under the name uncultured bacterium. RNAcentral describes it as "partial 16S ribosomal RNA". It matches the Rfam family "Bacterial small subunit ribosomal RNA", at positions 524 to 776 of the family's 1533-position model. The record is from RNAcentral.
UACGAAGGGGGCUAGCGUUGCUCGGAAUCACUGGGCGUAAAGGGUGCGUAGGCGGGUCUUUAAGUCAGGGGUGAAAUCCCAGGGCUCAACCCUGGAACGGCCUUUGAUACUGGAUGCCUGGAGAUCGGGAGAGGUUGGUGGAAUUCCGAGUGUAGAGGUGAAAUUCGUAGAUAUUCGGAGGAACACCAGAAGCGAAGGCGGCCAACUGGCCCGAUACUGACGCUGAGGCGCGAAAGCGUGGGGAGCAAACAGG